UUGACCUCGAUCAGUA
This 16-nucleotide ribosomal RNA is filed under the name Curvularia sp. HC10. Its description in RNAcentral is "partial 28S ribosomal RNA". The record is from RNAcentral. Lineage: Eukaryota; Fungi; Ascomycota; Dothideomycetes; Pleosporales; Pleosporaceae.